CAGACCUGAAAUCAGGCGAGGUUACCCGCUGAACUUAAGCAUAUUAUUAAGCGGAGGAGAAGAAAAUAACUAUGAUUCCCUUAGUAACGGCGAGUGAACCGGGAUCAGCUCAAAGUGGAAAUCAACUGCUCUUUCCGAGCUGUUGACUUGUAGCCUCGAGAGGCGUUACCAGUGGAAGCGCAGGGUUAAGUUUCUUGGGAAAGAACAUCAUAGAGGGUGAGAAUCCCGUCCUUCCCCUGCGUUUUUUGUUCCACGUACGGUACGCUUUUAUAGAGUCGCGUUCAUCGGGAUUUGAGCGCAAAAUGUGUGGUAGGUUUCACAUAAAGCUAAGUACUGGCGCGAGACCGAUAGCAAACAAGUACCGUGAGGGAAAGAUGAAAAGUUCUUUGGAAAGAGAGUUAAAAGUGCCUG
RNAcentral lists this ribosomal RNA (411 nucleotides) under Toxoplasma gondii FOU. RNAcentral's name for it is "eukaryotic LSU rRNA". It matches the Rfam family "Eukaryotic large subunit ribosomal RNA", at positions 1 to 401 of the family's 3401-position model. Lineage: Eukaryota; Apicomplexa; Conoidasida; Eucoccidiorida; Sarcocystidae. The record is from RNAcentral.